UGGCUCUCGCACCGAUGAAGAACGCAGCGAAAUGCGAUAAGUAAUGUGAAUUGCAGAAUUCAGUGAAUCAUCGAAUCUUUGAACGCACCUUGCACCUUUUGGUAUUCCGAAAGGUACACCCGUUUGAGUGUCAUUGUAAUCUCACUCCUCGACUUUGUCGUCUUGGAUGUGGACCUGGGCUCUGUCGUGUCACGACUGGCCUCAAAUGCCUGAGUGCACCCUGCUGUUGCGGCGUCUUCAGUGUGAUAAGCAUCUUCACUGGAACAAGCUCCCUUGUGGACACGCUCGCUUUGUGGGCUCUGUGCUUGCGAACCAUCCGCCGACGUGGACAAUUCUUUGACAAUUUGACCUCAAAUCGGGUGGGACUACCCGCUGA
This 376-nucleotide unclassified non-coding RNA is filed under the name uncultured fungus. RNAcentral's name for it is "partial contains 5.8S ribosomal RNA and internal transcribed spacer 2". The stretch from base 1 to 133 matches the Rfam family "5.8S ribosomal RNA", at positions 22 to 154 of the family's 154-position model. The record is from RNAcentral. Lineage: Eukaryota; Fungi.